RNAcentral lists this long non-coding RNA (901 nucleotides) under Salmo salar (Atlantic salmon). Its description in RNAcentral is "lncRNA (ENSSSAG00000099835.1)". The record is from RNAcentral. Lineage: Eukaryota; Metazoa; Chordata; Actinopteri; Salmoniformes; Salmonidae.
GAAAAAGAGAGUUGGAUUUCUUAAUAAGUUACGAGGAUCUAACUGUUAAAAUGUGUCUAGUUUUAAAAUAUUUGUUAUGUCAGCAUUUAGGCUGUACUUAAUGUUGUGUGUAUGUGUUUGUGUGUUCCAAGGGAACUCUUGGUGACAUAACGGGGCAAAGACCACACUUUGGACGGUACUUCUAACAAACUGCUGGGAUCAUGGUACCUAUGAGGACAACACACACUGCUGGGAUCAUGAUUCCUGCAGCAGUGUGUGUGUGUGUGUGUGUGUGUGUGUGUGUGUGUGUGUGUGUGUGUGUGUGUGUGUGUGUGUGUGUGUGUGUGUGUGUGUGUGUGUGUGUGUGUGUGUGUGUUGUCCUCAUAGCGAUCAUGGAAGCAGCAGUGUGUGGUGGGUUCGCUGUAAAAUGGCGGGUAGGUCCAGUGUGUGGUGGGGUCGAUGUAAAAUGGCGGGUAGGUCCAGUGUGUGGUGGGGUCGCUGUAAAAUGGCGGGUAGGUCCAGUGUGUGGUGGGGUUGAUGUGAAAUGGUGGGUAUGUCCCGUGUGUGGUGGGGUUGCUGUGAAACGGCAGGUAGGUCCAGUGUGUUGUGGGGUUGCUGUAAAAUGGCGGGUAGGUCCAGUGUGUGGUGGGGUCGCGGUAAAAUGGUGGGUAGGUCCAGUGUGUGGUGGGGUCGAUGUAAAAUGGCGGGUAGGUCCAGUGUGUGGUGGGGUUGAUGUAAAAUGGCGGGUAGGUCCAGUGUGUGGUGGGGUCGAUGUAAAAUGGUGGGUAGGUCCAGUGUGUGGUGGGAUUGAUGUGAAACGGCAGGGAGGUCCAGUGUAAGAUGCAGUCAGUAUAAAGUUUAAUGAAUAACAUGCAAAAGUAGCAGGAAUGUGAAUGGCCAGGAAACUCCCGUUGAAGUUCAG